RNAcentral lists this ribosomal RNA (80 nucleotides) under Choleoeimeria taggarti. RNAcentral describes it as "large subunit ribosomal RNA". The record is from RNAcentral. Lineage: Eukaryota; Apicomplexa; Conoidasida; Eucoccidiorida; Eimeriidae.
UAAGUGUGGAGAGAAACGUCUUUGUAACUCAUCAUAUGGAAAUCGUGAGAGAAGCCACUAGUUGUCUCUAUGAACUGUGG